This 468-nucleotide ribosomal RNA is filed under the name uncultured bacterium. RNAcentral's name for it is "partial 16S ribosomal RNA". It matches the Rfam family "Bacterial small subunit ribosomal RNA", at positions 28 to 507 of the family's 1533-position model. The record is from RNAcentral.
GACGAACGCUGGCGGCGUGCUUAACACAUGCAAGUCGAACGGAAAGGCCCUGCGUUUGUGGGGUGCUCGAGUGGCGAACGGGUGAGUAACACGUGAGUAACCUGCCCUUGACUUUGUGAUAACUUCACGAAACUGGGGCUAAUAUCGGAUAGAAGCUCCUGCUGCAUGGUGGGGGUUGGAAAGAUUCGGCGGUUGGGGAUGGACUCGCGGCUUAUCAGCUUGUUGGUGGGGUAGUGGCUUACCAAGCCUUUGACGGGUAGCCGGCCUGAGAGGGUGACCGGCGACAUUGGGACUGAGAUACGGAGCAGACUGGUAUGGGAGGCAGCAGGGGGGAGUAUUGCGGAACGGGCGGAAGUGUGAUGUAGAAACGCCGCGUGCGGGAUGCCGGGCUUCGGGUUGUAAACAGAUGUCGCAUGUGACGAGGAGUGAGUGACGGUAAUGGGUAAAGAAGCACCGGCUAACUACGUG